GAGGGGGGUCCCACGAUACUAAAAAACCAUACCAAACCCACCGCAAUUGUUUAUAACAAAUAAUAGCUAAUAACAAAUUUUAUACAAUGUUCCGUUACAAAAAUUAAGGUGGCGCUGUGUGUAAAUAAAUCAAUAAUCUGAUUAUUCGUGUGCGCAGGUGCAAUUCCUACCCAGCGGCCACCGCGUUACAGACGCCAUUUCUGUUUGCACCUGCUGAAGAAAACAGGCGCUUUACUUUCGCUUCGUUUAUCAUUUAUGUCACCUCGAACGGGACCUUAUUUCUUUUUUGCAGGAUCAUCUGGUGCUUCCCGGACCCGUCGCCUGCCCCAGGUGUAAGAAGGAUUGCUACCUUGCACUAGAAGACACCCGACUUCGUUUUAGAUGCGAGCGUCAGGUGAAAGUAUCGAAAACUAGGAAGACUAAAAAGUGCUCGUUCUCUGUUACAGCCGAGGGAUCCCAUCUGGAUGUCCUGACCGGGUGUUGAUUCGUUGCGUGCUGGCUCAUGGUUCACCAUCCGAAGAAGAGGUUUUAUCAUGGAAGAGCUGCACGUUUCGUCCAGGACAUUCAUCGACUGGAGCAGUUUCUGUCGAGAGGUAUGUAUGCAUUAUUUAACACGUCGUUCUGUUCUUUUAGGUGGAGAAGGAGUCACCGCUAACAUCGGCAAGAGGAAGUACAACCGUAGGAGAAGAAUCGAAGGCCAGUGGACCUUCGGAGGGUAUGACCGAGGCUCGGGAAGGUUUUUAUCAUUCCAGUUCCGGAUCGAACGAUGGAUACCUUGCUUGACCUUAUACGCGAGCACAUACGAUCUCGUACGUAGCAGACUGCUGCGAUGCUUAUUUUUACCUUUAUCAUGUAUUUUUAUUUAAUAAAAUAAGUGUGGUUA
Long non-coding RNA from Photinus pyralis (common eastern firefly), 883 nucleotides. RefSeq lists it as uncharacterized. The record is from RefSeq and is a predicted model, not a curated record. The transcript is spliced from 2 exons. NCBI's taxonomy places the organism in Eukaryota, Metazoa, Arthropoda, Insecta, Coleoptera, Lampyridae.